UGAAUCUUAUCUGCAUAGAUUUGACACUUGUGGCAUUUCUUCACAAACUUUCAACAGUCAGAUUCCAUUGUCAACCAAUAGUAACCUACUCUCAACAUCUUCUUUGACAUAUAUUAUCCAUUGGAAUGAGUACCAAAGGAACCUUGAUGGACUUCAGUCAUCAAUAGGUAUGCCUCAUGUCUAUCCAUGCAUCUGAGCAAAACCAUAUCGAAGUUUCUC
RNAcentral lists this long non-coding RNA (219 nucleotides) under Lathyrus oleraceus (garden pea). Its description in RNAcentral is "Pisum sativum (pea) long non-coding RNA (PSAT_LNC034110)". The record is from RNAcentral. Lineage: Eukaryota; Viridiplantae; Streptophyta; Magnoliopsida; Fabales; Fabaceae.